AGUGAACGCUGGCGGUAGGCCUAACACAUGCAAGUCGAACGGCAGCACAGUAAGAGCUUGCUCUUACGGGUGGCGAGUGGCGGACGGGUGAGGAAUACAUCGGAAUCUACUUUUUCGUGGGGGAUAACGUAGGGAAACUUACGCUAAUACCGCAUACGACCUACGGGUGAAAGCAGGGGAUCUUCGGACCUUGCGCGAUUGAAUGAGCCGAUGUCGGAUUAGCUAGUUGGCGGGGUAAAGGCCCACCAAGGCGACGAUCCGUAGCUGGGCUGAGAGGAUGAUCAGCCACACUGGAACUGAGACACGGUCACGACUACUACGGGAGGCAGCAGUGGGGAAUAUUGGACAAUGGGGGCAAGCCUGAUCCAGCCAUACCGCGUGGGUGAAGAAGGCCUUCGGGUUGUAAAGCCCUUUUGUUGGGAAAGAAAAGCAGCAGGUUAAUACCCCGCUGUUCUGACGGUACCCAAAGAAUAAGCACCGGCUAACUUCGUG
RNAcentral lists this ribosomal RNA (492 nucleotides) under uncultured bacterium. RNAcentral's name for it is "partial 16S ribosomal RNA". It matches the Rfam family "Bacterial small subunit ribosomal RNA", at positions 29 to 507 of the family's 1533-position model. The record is from RNAcentral.